This 503-nucleotide ribosomal RNA is filed under the name uncultured Glomeromycotina. RNAcentral's name for it is "SSU rRNA". It matches the Rfam family "Eukaryotic small subunit ribosomal RNA", at positions 548 to 1056 of the family's 1831-position model. The record is from RNAcentral. Lineage: Eukaryota; Fungi; Glomeromycota.
UUGGAGGGCAAGUCUGGUGCCAGCAGCCGCGGUAAUUCCAGCUCCAAUAGCGCAUAUUAAAGUUGUUGCAGUUAAAAAGCUCGUAGUUGAAUUUCGGGAUCAAUUUGCUGGUCGUGCCUCUGGUACGUACUGGUAUUAUUGGUUUCUCCCUUCUGACGAACCAUGAUGUCAUUAAUUUGAUGUCGUGGAGAAUCAGGACUGUUACUUUGAAAAAAUUAGAGUGCUUAAAGCAGGCAUUAGCUUGAAUACAUUAGCAUGGAAUAAUGAAAUAGGACGUUUGAUCCUAUUUUGUUGGUUUCUAGGAUUGACGUAAUGAUUAAUAGGGAUAGUUGGGGCAUUAGUAUUCAAUUGUCAGAGGUGAAAUUCUUGGAUUUAUUGAAGACUAACUACUGCGAAAGCAUUUGCCAAGGAUGUUUUCAUUAAUCAAGAACGAAAGUUAGGGGAUCGAAGACGAUCAGAUACCGUCGUAGUCUUAACCAUAAACUAUGCCGACUAGGGAUCGG